AACAUGUCUUUUUGAUAAUAAUUUAAAGUCUAACCUGCCCACUGAUAAUUUUUGAAGGGCCGCGGUAUAUUGACUGUGCAAAGGUAGCAUAAUCAUUAGUCUUUUAAUUGAAGGCUUGUAUGAAUGGUUGGAUGAGGUAUUAACUGUCUCAAUUUAAUAAAUAAAAGAAUUUUAUUUUUAAGUUAAAAAGCUUAAAUAAUUUUAAAAGACGAGAAGACCCUAUAGAUCUUUAUAUUUAAAUUUUUUAAUAAUUUUUUAGUUAAGAUUUAUUUUUAGAAAGAAAAGUAUUGAGUUGGGGUGAUUAAAAAAUUUAAUAAACUUUUUUUAUAUUUUAACAAUGAUUUUUGAAUAAUUGAUCCAUUUUUUGUGAUUAAAAGAUUAAGUUACCUUAGGGAUAACAGCGUAAUUUUUUUGGAGAGUUCAUAUCGAUAAAAAAGAUUGCGACCUCGAUGUUGAAUUAAAGGUUAAUUUUAGGUGUAGAAGUUUAAAAUUUUGGUC
This 498-nucleotide ribosomal RNA is filed under the name Neochauliodes guixianus. RNAcentral's name for it is "partial large subunit ribosomal RNA". Lineage: Eukaryota; Metazoa; Arthropoda; Insecta; Megaloptera; Corydalidae. The record is from RNAcentral.